AUGGUUUUCAGUUUCAGGUGCAAAAUCUUAUGGAUAAGGGAAAAAAGCUUUUUUCCCCCAAGAUAAAUAAAUUAACAUAAAUUCCACAAGAAAGUACAACCGUUGAAUUGUUGCUGAAAACGUUGACUGUUAUUGUUGUAUUCGAGUGCCAAAAUUAGCAAAAAUCAUUUAUUUCCAUUUAAAGGCAACUUAAGGUAGAGAGAUGUGCGUGACAAUUUGUCGACCAGGGCCCCAAAUAAAGGGACCCAUACAUGUAUAUCCACACUUUACUGCGGCGUUCGACUAAUGUGAUUAUUAUAUUGUAUUAUGCUUCGUUAUCGGCCUCCGACAGGAAAAGAACGGCAUUUAUGAGUUUUCCUAGAAUGCAGAAAAUUCGAGUACAAGCAGAAGAAAAGAACAAAUGUGUUUGAAAGAAAACAUUACUAAAUAUAUCAGCUGUCCACGAGUUCUGUUAAUUUUUUUGUUUUAUUUAGAAUUUUAGAAAUACUGCAG
This is a non-coding RNA of Parasteatoda tepidariorum (common house spider), 492 nucleotides long. Lineage: Eukaryota; Metazoa; Arthropoda; Arachnida; Araneae; Theridiidae. The record is from RefSeq and is a predicted model, not a curated record.